UGACUCCCUGUGACAGAACUGCAUCCC
Molecule: non-coding RNA, 27 nt
Filed under: Homo sapiens (human)
Lineage: Eukaryota; Metazoa; Chordata; Mammalia; Primates; Hominidae
Source: RNAcentral